GAUGAACGCUGGCGGCGUGCUUAAUACAUGCAAGUCGAGCGAACAGACCAUGAGCUUGCUCCUCUGACGUUAGCGGCGGACGGGUGAGUAACGCGUGGAUAACCUACCUAUAAGACUGGGAUAACUUCGGGAAACCGGAGCUAAUACCGGAUAAUAUAUUGAACCGCAUGGUUCAAUAGUGAAAGACGGUUUUGCUGUCACUUAUAGAUGGUUCCGGGCCGCAUUAGCUAGUUGGUAAGGUAACGGCUUACCACGGCAACGAUGCGUAGCCGAAGUGAAAGGGUGGUUGGCGACAGGGGAACAUGACCACAUACCAUAGUUCUAAGGGAGGCAGCAGUAGGGAAUCUUACGCAACAGGGGGAAGCCUGACGUAGCAGGGCGGAGUGAGUGCUGAAGGUCCUCGGCGCCGAAAACUCUGUUAUUAGGGAAAAACAAAUGUGGAAUUGACUAAGCACGUCUUGACGGUACCUUAUCAGAAAGCCCCGGCUAACUACGUG
This 497-nucleotide ribosomal RNA is filed under the name uncultured bacterium. Its description in RNAcentral is "partial 16S ribosomal RNA". It matches the Rfam family "Bacterial small subunit ribosomal RNA", at positions 28 to 507 of the family's 1533-position model. The record is from RNAcentral.